GUGUCCACUUAGGCAGCACCUGUAUUAAAAUUGGAACAACACAGGGAAGAGGAGUGUGAUCCCUCUGCAAGGAUGACAUGCAAAUCCACGAAGCCAUCUGUAUUUUU
Sciurus carolinensis (gray squirrel) is the source of this 107-nucleotide small nuclear RNA. The record is from RefSeq and is a predicted model, not a curated record. Lineage: Eukaryota; Metazoa; Chordata; Mammalia; Rodentia; Sciuridae.